Molecule: ribosomal RNA, 212 nt
Filed under: uncultured bacterium
Lineage: Bacteria
Description: partial 16S ribosomal RNA
Rfam family: Bacterial small subunit ribosomal RNA
Source: RNAcentral
UACGUAGGGUGCGAGCGUUGUCCGGAAUUAUUGGGCGUAAAGGGCUCGUAGGCGGUUUGUCGCGUCGGGAGUGAAAUCCACUGGCUUAACUGGUGGCUUGCUUUCGAUACGGGCAGACUGGAGGUAUGCAGGGGAGAACGGAAUUCCUGGUGUAGCGGUGAAAUGCGCAGAUAUCAGGAGGAACACCGGUGGCGAAGGCGGUUCUCUGGGCA